AGAGUUUGAUCAUGGCUCAGAACAAACGCUGGCGGCGUGCCUAACACAUGCAAGUCGAACGAGAAAUCCCGAGCUUGCUUGGGAGAGUAAAGUGGCGCACGGGUGAGUAACGCGUGGGUAACCUACCUUUGAAUCUGGAAUAACCAGCCGAAAGGCUGACUAAUACCGGAUACGGUUUUUUAGGCUUUGGCCUUUUAAAUUAAAGGUGACCUCUUCAUGAAAGUUGCCGUUCAUAGAUGGGCCCGCGUACCAUUAGCUAGUUGGUGGGGUAAUGGCCUACCAAGGCGACGAUGGUUAGCUGGUCUGAGAGGAUGAUCAGCCACACUGGAACUGGAACACGGUCCAGACUCCUACGGGAGGCAGCAGUGAGGAAUUUUGCGCAAUGGGGGAAACCCUGACGCAGCAACGCCGCGUGAGCGAAGAAGGCCCUUGGGUCGUAAAGCUCUGUCAAGUGGGAAAAAAAUCUUUUGAUCAAUAGUCAAAAGACUUGAUGGUACCACUGGAGGAAGCACCGGCUAACUCCGUGCCAGCAGCCGCGGUAAUACGGAGGGUGCAAGCGUUGUUCGGAUUUACUGGGCGUAAAGAGCGUGUAGGCGGUUUAGCAAGUCAGAUGUGAAAGCCCUGGGCUCAACCCGGGAAGUGCAUUUGAAACUGCUUCACUAGAGUAUGGGAGAGGAGAUUGGAAUUCCUGGUGUAGAGGUG
Molecule: ribosomal RNA, 702 nt
Filed under: uncultured bacterium
Lineage: Bacteria
Description: bacterial SSU rRNA
Rfam family: Bacterial small subunit ribosomal RNA
Source: RNAcentral